GUAUCAACUAAAUUCAAAUAAAAAAUGUUGCAUAUACUUUAGUGAAGGUCAAACUGUGAUCAAGGUCAAAGUCAAGUUUCAUGAUAGAAGAACACAGUUUUUGCACUCUACGGUUUGCAUUUGAUCUAAAGAACACAGUUUUUGCACUCUACGGUUUUUGCACUCUACGGUUUGCAUUUGAGCGACAGUAUUUCCCCUUUGACCGUCAUACGAACAAAGUACAGGCAAGAUAAGGAAGCCGGAUUAUGUAUGCCGGUAUAUACAUUCCGAUGAUGGAGAUUUGGUAAAAUACAACCUUUUGAGGUCUAAUCUGGAUGAGGAGCGAUGGGUAUCUAUCAAGGACACUAAUCAAUAAUUUGAAUCGAUUCAACUCUGGCAUGUAUCAUUUUUAGUUGUUUAUGUUGAGUAGGUUUCAAUAAAUAACUUUUUAAAUUUGAGCAUGAACUCAAGUACUUCAAAAAUACUUUGGCUCUGUUUUCUUGGUUAAAUUGUACUUUACUGACGUUAUAGUCUAUCAAAAUCCAUUAUUAUUUUCCUUAUGUU
Molecule: long non-coding RNA, 543 nt
Organism: Helianthus annuus (common sunflower)
Lineage: Eukaryota; Viridiplantae; Streptophyta; Magnoliopsida; Asterales; Asteraceae
Exons: 2
Source: RefSeq, a predicted model, not a curated record